UCUGGCCUUUUUAGCAGCCUUCUUCCUUCGGCGAGGUCGGAGGACUUCUUCAGGAAUGAAAGGCUCGUCGGCUUCAGGCUCAUCAUUCCGAAGGGGGGUAGGUCCUGGGUCGGAGGUAGGGGUGUCGGUUCGGGAAGGUUCUUCAGUAGGAAGCUCUUCAUUAGCCUCCGAAGUCCUCCCCGCCAGAAAAUCUCCCAAAUCUUUCACUUCCGAAGAAGUUGGUUUGAUCAGGGAUACUGCAAAUAAUCACAUAUUAAAAUCCUUGCCACAUAAAUACCUCAAAAAUUAUACUGCAGAGUUAUUCAAAACUUACAUUUAUGAUCAUACAGCCAGGCUUGUUUGGUCAGCAGGGUAAAACUCCAUUCUUGUGGAGGGAUCUUCUUCAGAAAGUCUCCCAUUUCCCUCACACACUCUUCGGGAAUGUCACC
This 428-nucleotide long non-coding RNA is filed under the name Panax ginseng (ginseng). Its description in RNAcentral is "long non-coding RNA (PGIN_LNC014668)". The record is from RNAcentral. Lineage: Eukaryota; Viridiplantae; Streptophyta; Magnoliopsida; Apiales; Araliaceae.